This 239-nucleotide long non-coding RNA is filed under the name Phoenix dactylifera (date palm). RNAcentral describes it as "long non-coding RNA (PDAC_LNC009871)". Lineage: Eukaryota; Viridiplantae; Streptophyta; Magnoliopsida; Arecales; Arecaceae. The record is from RNAcentral.
UGAUAAUUUUGAUCUAAACAAGACCAUAGAAGACGUCAAUGUCCUACUUGACAAUCUGUCUCCCACAAAUUCUCAUCCUUGGCGUAUCCGAUAUGAACCUCUGCCUAUCCUUUCUAGUGCGCCACAGUGCUCUUCCAUCGAGUCCCCUCCAAACUUGAGCUAAAGCCACUUUCGGUAACCCUUAAGUAUGCUUUCUAGGACCCGAAGAUACCCUACCUAUAAUCAUCGCGGCUGACCUG